UUAGCUAGUUGGUGAGGUAACGGCUCACCAAGGCGACGAUGCGUAGCCGACCUGAGAGGGUGAUCGGCCACAUUGGGACUGAGACACGGCCCAGACUCCUACGGGAGGCAGCAGUGGGGAAUAUUGCACAAUGGGGGAAACCCUGAUGCAGCAACGCCGCGUGAGUGAUGAAGGCCUUCGGGUUGUAAAGCUCUGUCUUUGGGGACGAUAAUGACGGUACCCAAGGAGGAAGCCACGGCUAACUACGUGCCGCGGUAAUACGUA
This 264-nucleotide ribosomal RNA is filed under the name uncultured bacterium. RNAcentral describes it as "partial 16S ribosomal RNA". It matches the Rfam family "Bacterial small subunit ribosomal RNA", at positions 241 to 529 of the family's 1533-position model. The record is from RNAcentral.